Molecule: ribosomal RNA, 521 nt
Filed under: uncultured Bacteroidota bacterium
Lineage: Bacteria; Pseudomonadati; Bacteroidota
Description: bacterial SSU rRNA
Rfam family: Bacterial small subunit ribosomal RNA
Source: RNAcentral
CGAUACCGCAUGCAGUUAGACGGCCCUAUGGAUUGUAAACUGCUUUUAUACAGGAAGAAACCCCCGACGUGUCCGAACUUGACGGUACUGUAACAAUAAGGAUCGGCUAACUCCGUGCCAGCACCCCCGGUAAUACAGAGGAUCCAAGCGUUAUCCGAAAUCAUUGGGUUGAAAGGGUCCGUAGGCGGUUUAGUAAUUCAGUGGUGAAAUCCGAUCGCUCAACGAUGAAACGGCCAUUGAUACUGUUAGACUUGACUUAUCAGGAAGUAACUAGAAUAUGUAUUGUAGCGGGGAAAUGCUUAGAUAUUACAUGGAAUACCAAUUGCGAAGGCAGGUUACUACUUAUGGAUUGACGCUGAUGGACUAAAGCGUGGGUAGCGAACAGGAUUAGAUACCCUGGUAGUCCACGCCGUACACGAUGGAAACUAACUGUUGGGAGCAAUCUCAUUGGCUAAACGAAAGUGAUAAGUAUCCCACCUGGGGAGCACGUUCGCAAGAAUGACACUCAUAGGAAUUGACGG